GUGAAAUUGUUGAAAGGGAAACGAUUAAAGUCAGUCAUGCUGGUAGGGAAUCAACUUGAUGGUAUGCGGGUUUUGACUCGUGUCCUUUCCGGUGCACUUCCUUACUUGCAGGUUAGCAUCAAUUUCGGUUAUCAUAAAAAAAUUGAGGGAAGGUGGCUUCUCUUCGGUGAAGUGUUAUAGACCUUGAUAAAUGUGGUGACUGGGAUUGAGGAUUGCAGCGGAUACCCUUAAUUACGGGCUAGUCACCUGGCUUCUGAUGGUUACCCUCAUCUUCGGUAGCUUGUUAACGUUGGUGGGACUCGAUCAUCUAGUCGUUGGAGUGAUCAUAAAUUCGCUAAGGAUGCUGACGUAAUGGCUUUAAACGAC
This 366-nucleotide ribosomal RNA is filed under the name uncultured Acaulospora. RNAcentral describes it as "partial 28S ribosomal RNA". Lineage: Eukaryota; Fungi; Glomeromycota; Glomeromycetes; Diversisporales; Acaulosporaceae. The record is from RNAcentral.